This is a long non-coding RNA of Oenanthe melanoleuca, 2468 nucleotides long. RefSeq lists it as uncharacterized. The record is from RefSeq and is a predicted model, not a curated record. The transcript has 3 exons. NCBI's taxonomy places the organism in Eukaryota, Metazoa, Chordata, Aves, Passeriformes, Muscicapidae.
CCCCAUUAGUGGGGAGUGGGCCAGAAUUGGAGAGAAGGAGCCUCCUUAGGCCUCAGGGACCAGGGCCGCCCUGUAAGUCGGGGCCGGUGCUCUGGAGUCCCGGGCACUUUUCAGUGCAGGCAGCGGCUUGAGCUCCCUGUAAGCAGGGGUGCAACCUCUUGCGCGCUGCUUUGCUUUGUGCCCAGCUUCUUUUGCCCAGAGGGCCCGGCUCCCGGCGCGGCGUGGGACUUGGCGGAGGUCGAUGUGAAGCCGUGGGACGACGAGGCAAGAGCGAGCUGGAUGAGAGAGGCAGCUUCGAGGUCAAGAGUGGAACGGCGAGGCAAGAGUGAGCUUGCAGCUGAAGAAGGAGCACGAGAGGCCCUCUGGGCAAAGGGCCUUAGUGGCAUGGCCAGGGCACCUUCAAGGUGCCGCGGCUGAGUUUGCUUGUGCUGGGCGACCUCCCUGUGUGCAGGGCUGGGUCUUUGCUCUGGUUGGCCUUUUGCCGUUGUGCUCCUUUGGCUGCCUGGAGAGAGGGGCAACCCUGUAAGGAGGGUGAGAGCCCCUGUCUCCGCACCUGAGGGGGGAAACGGAGCUCCCCGAGCCCCCAGCCCGGCCGCCCUGUAAGCAGGGCAGGGCUUUUCCCCAGCUGUGGCAGCUUUGUGCCUGCUGCUGGCCCCUGGCCAGCGUGACCCCCUGUAGUCGGGGCGCGUCACAGCCUUUGUUUGUCCCUGAAGCAGCCCUGAAACGCCUCAGCGCGUCGAGGCCCCUGUGCCCUCCCCUCAGUGUAGUGCGGUGCAGGUGCGAUGCUUUUGCCUCCCACUGAGCGGUGGGGAUGGCUCGCUUGAGCCCUUUGGCUGCACGGAACUCGCUCCCUCUUCUGGGACUGUCUUGCCCUCCCUCCCUCCCCAGUGUUCCCCUUAGUUGGUGUGAGUGAAGAUGUGGGUUUGGGCUUUAGGCUCCCUUUAGAGAUAGAGCAGUGUAGCUUAGACUUCCCGGGAGGGAAAGAGGAGUUCUGUGCAGCCACAAGCCGGUCCCCAAAAUGCUUGUGUGGAGCAAGUGUCCGGCCUUGCCCCCACUCUCUGAGGAGGGUACGAAGCCGCUUAGCGGUAGCGUGGGCAGCGUGACCCGCCUGUAGCCAGGGCCUGGGUCUGGGCCUACGGUGCCCUUUGUGGUGGUGAAGUGGCAGCGUGCCGCCCUGUAGUCGGGGCAUGUGCGAAGAGCUUGCUUGUCCCUUUGUCCCCAGGAGCAGCCCCUGUGCCCUGUAAGCAGGGCUGUGGAGGCUGCUUUAGCCAGGUGACAGGAACGACUGCUCCCAGGCCCUUGGCAGGGUGCAGGUUGAAGAAGUGCUGGUGCCACCUUGCUGGCGGCCUGGUUGCGGAGGCUGGAGGGGCUCCUGCAGACGGCUGUGUUGCCGUGCUGCGCUGCGGCCGGGCUGCGGCCGGCCCCUAAGUGGGGCGCAGGCCGGAGCCCGUGCUCCGUGGUGCUUGUUGGGGGGUGCCGGGCAGCGGGGGGCGGCCCCGUAAGUGGGGUUGUGUGCGCCCCCUGGUCUCGGCGGGCGGUUGGAGGGACCCCCUGUAAUCAGGCGGGUAUCCCUGGCCGCGGCCUUUCAGAGGCGCGGGGCCAGGAGUGGUGGGGCCGGGCGUGUGCCCUCCCUGUCGUUGGGGCUGGGCUCCCGGCCCCUGGGGCCCUUGGGUCCCUUGGCCUUUAGGCCAGGAGUUGGGCUGCCUGACUGUAUGUGCUUCCUGUUGCCGUGGGGAAAGGCCGAGCUCCGUGGCUCCCUGGGUGUGGACCGGCCUGUAAGCAGGCUGUGGGUCUGGGAGCCUUUGUGCUCCCUUCAGCUGGCAGCCUGCGUUGGGCACCCUCACCCCGUUAGUGGGGAGUGGGCCAGAAUUGGAGAGAAGGAGCCUCCUUAGGCCUCAGGGACCAGGGCCGCCCUGUAAGUCGGGGCCGGUGCUCUGGAGUCCCGGGCACUUUUCAGUGCAGGCAGCGGCUUGAGCUCCCUGUAAGCAGGGGUGCAACCUCUUGCGCGCUGCUUUGCUUUGUGCCCAGCUUCUUUUGCCCAGAGGGCCCGGCUCCCGGCGCGGCGUGGGACUUGGCGGAGGUCGAUGUGGAUCGCGCUGGACUUUCCUGUCAUCUCGUCCAGAUUCAUACGAAUACCUUUUUAGGCAUAGGAUAAUGCAGCACCAAUCAUUUGCAUAUUCUGAAUUUCAAUCUGAAACAUGGAGUGUGUAGGGGAAUGAUUUGUGCGUUCUGCAUGGAAAGAAUUAAUGUAUUGCUUUCUGUAAAAUGUUUUAGCUUCUAUAAUUUCUUUGUUUUCAGAUGAUUUCAGUGAGUGUAACCAAUUGGGCAGAAACCAUCAGAGGAAAUUGUACUAUACAAUGAAAAAUGAGUGUUCCCGAGUUGUAGCCUAUUCCAGAACACACUCAGACUAAUUCUAUUUAAACUACAUCUUCAUCCCUGAGCCCACUCAGGAGUGUGUGAGCCAUAUG